CCUACGGGAGGCUGCAGUGGGGAAUAUUGGACAAUGGGGGCAACCCUGAUCCAGCCAUGCCGCGUGUGUGAAGAAGGCCCUCGGGUUGUAAAGCACUUUCAGUGAGGAAGAACGCCUGGUGGUUAAUACCCAUCAGGAAAGACAUCACUCACAGAAGAAGCACCGGCUAACUCCGUGCCAGCAGCCGCGGUAAUACGGAGGGUGCGAGCGUUAAUCGGAAUUACUGGGCGUAAAGCGCGCGUAGGUGGCUUGAUAAGCCGGUUGUGAAAGCCCGGGGCUCAACCUGGGAACGGCAUCCGGAACUGUCAAGCUAGAGUGCAGGAGAGGAAGGUAGAAUUCCCGGUGUAGCGGUGAAAUGCGUAGAGAUCGGGAGGAAUACCAGUGGCGAAGGCGGCCUUCUGGACUGACACUGACACUGAGGUGCGAAAGCGUGGGUAGCAAACAGGAUUAGAUACCCCAGUAGUC
This 465-nucleotide ribosomal RNA is filed under the name Vreelandella stevensii. RNAcentral's name for it is "partial 16S ribosomal RNA". It matches the Rfam family "Bacterial small subunit ribosomal RNA", at positions 338 to 795 of the family's 1533-position model. Lineage: Bacteria; Pseudomonadati; Pseudomonadota; Gammaproteobacteria; Oceanospirillales; Halomonadaceae. The record is from RNAcentral.